This is a long non-coding RNA of Fukomys damarensis (Damara mole-rat), 483 nucleotides long. RefSeq lists it as uncharacterized. Lineage: Eukaryota; Metazoa; Chordata; Mammalia; Rodentia; Bathyergidae. The transcript is spliced from 3 exons. The record is from RefSeq and is a predicted model, not a curated record.
CGGAAGCGGAUCCCUUCUCCCCAAAACAGAAACUUGGCAGAAUCAGAGCCGUAGCUUAGCAAGAAACUUGGCUUCGUGGGACGUGGCACUUCCGAUACACUGGCGUGGGAAUGGAGAACUGCAAGUCUGCCUCCUUCGGCUCCCACACACAGAGCCAGCCACAAAGGGCAACGGCCACUCCGGGGUGAGGCGCUGAACCCCAGACAAGCCCUCCAUGGAGAGGCCACCACUCCACCACCCCGACCUCUGACAGCUGCAUCCCGAUCUCAAGAAGCAUGGAAUCUAGAUGCCUCGGGAAGGUUACGCCAGCAGCUUGAAUGUGGGCAGGAGAUUUAAAAAGAAGUUGGCGGCCUGGUUAAAAAGAAGUUGCCUCAGCUGCGAUGCGGGAGGCAGGUGGAUGAGGAGCCUGUGCUUGCCUUUGUCGAAUCCUCUUCAGUCCCUGUAUCUGGGAUGUGCAGCCCACCCCCACUUGGCCUCCCUAAC